RNAcentral lists this ribosomal RNA (394 nucleotides) under uncultured bacterium. RNAcentral describes it as "bacterial SSU rRNA". It matches the Rfam family "Bacterial small subunit ribosomal RNA", at positions 29 to 420 of the family's 1533-position model. The record is from RNAcentral.
AUUGAACGCUGGCGGCAUGCCUUACACAUGCAAGUCGAACGGCAGCACGGGGGCGAACCCUGGUGGCGAGUGGCGAACGGGUGAGUAACACAUCGGAACGUGCCCAGUAGUGGGGGAGUAGCUCGGCGAAAGACCGGAUUAAUACCGCAUACGACCUGCGGGUGAAAGCGGGGGAGUCGCAAGACCUCGCGCUAUCGGAGCGGCCGAUGUCAGAUUAGGUUGUUGGUGGGGUAAAGGCCUACCAAGCCGACGAUCUGUAGCUGGUCUGAGAGGACGACCAGCCACACUGGGACUGAGACACGGCCCAGACUCCUACGGGAGGCAGCAGUGGGGAAUUUUGGACAAUGGGCGCAAGCCUGAUCCAGCCAUGCCGCGUGCGGGAAGAAGGCCUCGG